GUAGGAGGCGAGCGUUAUCCGGAGUUACUGGGCGUAAAGCGCGUGUAGGUGGUUGGAUACGUCUGCUGUGAAAGAUCCCGGCUUAACCGGGAGGAUGCGGCGGAUACGGUUCGACUGGAGGGUGCCAGAGGAGCGUAGAAUUCCGGGUGUAGUGGUGAAAUGCGUAGAGAUCCGGAGGAAUACCAGUGGCGCAAGCGGCGCUCUGGGUGCCACCUGCCACUGAGACGCGAAGGCAUGGGGAGCGAACGGGAUUAGAAACCCCGGUAGUCCAUGCAGUAAACGAUGCCGACUGGGUGUGGGAUACGCAAGUAUUCUGUGCCGAAGCUAACGCGCUAAGUCGGCCGCCUGGGAAGUACGGUCGCAAGACUA
RNAcentral lists this ribosomal RNA (369 nucleotides) under uncultured bacterium. RNAcentral describes it as "bacterial SSU rRNA". It matches the Rfam family "Bacterial small subunit ribosomal RNA", at positions 527 to 896 of the family's 1533-position model. The record is from RNAcentral.